RNA transcript from Xenia sp. Carnegie-2017, 1509 nucleotides. RefSeq lists it as uncharacterized. The transcript is spliced from 13 exons. Lineage: Eukaryota; Metazoa; Cnidaria; Anthozoa; Malacalcyonacea; Xeniidae. The record is from RefSeq and is a predicted model, not a curated record.
GUGCAGCUUAAGAAGAAAUUUCAGGGCUUCCAUUUACUAAAUUUAUCAAAGUUCAUGUAUGAGGACAAUAUUUCUUCGCGUAUUCAUAUUUUUUAGGAGUUUGCAACAUCAAAAGUUCGAAGCAAGGCAAUCGAUCAACAGGGCUCAGUCACUCAGUACUAUGCUUAGUACUUUUUUAAAUAUCUAUCGGGAAGUCUGGCUGGGAGAAUGGAAGAAAUUCAGACGCUCAAAUGACUUCUUUUACAAUAACGUGGAGAGGAAAGGAAACACACAAAAAGAUGAUGCGAAUAGCAGUGUGUCAUAUGAAUCUCAAUUUUUUGAACAAGAAAAUGAAUUUGGGGAUUUGAAUGAACAAAGUGAAGAUAUUGCUGAAAAUUAUGACAAGCACCAAGAGUUAACCACCAAAACACAGGACUCUGAAGAUAUCUUUACCAAGCAAUCUAUCUCUAUUAUUACAGAGGAACCCAAACAACCAUGUCAACAUAGUCAAAGUCAUUUGUCACCCACUGGCCACUAUACUGGGCUAUUGUUACAGUUUGACUUUGCAUCAAAUGUAUCACAUCAGCAAUCCUUUGUUGUUCAUGAUUAUAAUGCAAACAAAAGAACAAUUAUGCAUAAUUCAUUUGUAUUUGUACAUCGAUAUCCCCACCUAUUGCUUGAUGGCUAUGGUUGGAUAUUGUGCUGCUCAUGUGAUGCAAAUAGAAAGCAAUUUGUUGAUGCCCUACCUAAUAAUAUACAAUUAGAUCCUCAAAAAGAUAUACCAUAUCCUAGUUGCAUACACAUAUUAGCAAUGGAAAAAUAUCUGGUUGUGUAUGAUAGAAAGUUUGGUAUUGAAGCCAAAGAUUUUAUUGAAAAAAAAUCCACAUCCAUGAUGCAGUCUGUUUUCAGUGAUCAUUCCUACCAUGAGAUGCAACCUGAAGAAGCAAUGAGAAUGAUGCAAGCGAUUUUACUGAUCUUCCUGAAAAAAAUGGUCAUAAAAUUUUGGCGCCAUCUGAAAGUGGUAUUUGUUCUUGUGGUGCAGAGUGGGAUAAACGUUCUAUUCAAGAUGAAUGGUUGUACGUAGACUUGUGUACUUUUGUUCAAUCCAUGAUGUGAAGGUGUAUUGUAGACCUUGCUCCUCUUGUGCUACGAAAAAGCAUUAUGAUGGCAUUGAAAACAGGAUUGUAUGGUUUGGAUCAUAUGCAAUAUCUCAUGCCGAUCUAAAAGAUUACAUUCGGCUUUUCAUAACGUCGAGUUUACCUAUGUACAAAUAUUAUGUUGCAUAUGUACAAAGGCAAGUGUCUUCGGGUAAUUUGAAUUUCCCAAAGGAAAUAACUUGCGCCAAGUUUCGUCUCGCUAUCAUUGCCAUGAUACGGUUGCUUGAUAUUGAUUUUCACAAUGGGUUUUUUUGUGAAUUAUGUGGAAGAAUUCCCCCAGAAGGUGGUGAUGGAUGGAACAACUCUUGGAAUACAGAAAACUUUCUUACCAAAUAAUUUAAGAGAGUCUGAUACUGGAUUGCUAGAUGGAAGA